AGAGUUUGAUCCUGGCUCAGAUUGAACGCUGGCGGCAUGCCUUACACAUGCAAGUCGAACGGUAACAGGUCUUCGGAUGCUGACGAGUGGCGAACGGGUGAGUAAUACAUCGGAACGUGCCCGAUCGUGGGGGAUAACGCAGCGAAAGCUGUGCUAAUACCGCAUACGAUCUACGGAUGAAAGCGGGGGACUCGCAAGGGCCUCGCGCGGACGGAGCGGCCGAUGGCAGAUUAGGUAGUUGGUGGGAUAAAAGCUUAUCAAGCCGACGAUCUGUAGCUGGUCUGAGAGGACGACCAGCCACACUGGGACUGAGACACGGCCCAGACUCCUACGGGAGGCAGCAGUGGGGAAUUUUGGACAAUGGGCGCAAGCCUGAUCCAGCCAUGCCGCGUGCAGGAUGAAGGCCUUCGGGUUGUAAACUGCUUUUGUACGGAACGAAAAAGCCUUCUCUAAUAAAG
This 458-nucleotide ribosomal RNA is filed under the name uncultured bacterium. RNAcentral's name for it is "bacterial SSU rRNA". It matches the Rfam family "Bacterial small subunit ribosomal RNA", at positions 8 to 465 of the family's 1533-position model. The record is from RNAcentral.